GAUGAAGAACGUAGCGAAAUGCGAUAAGUAAUGUGAAUUGCAGAAUUCAGUGAAUCAUCGAAUCUUUGAACGCACCUUGCGCCCUUUGCCCAUUCCGAAGGGCAUGCCUGUUUGAGUAUCAUGAACACCUCAACUCUUCAUGGUUUUCCAUGAUGAGCUUGGACUUUGGGGGUCUUGCUGGCCUGUGGGUCGGCUCCUCUCAAAUGAAUCAGCUUGCCGGUUUUUGGUGGGCAUCACAGGUGUGAUAACUAUCUACGCUUGUGGUUUUCCACCAGCGUAACCUUCAGCAGUGGAGGUUCACUGGAGCUUACAAAUGUCUCUCCUCUGUGAGGACAGCCCUUUGAAUGUUUGAUCUCAAAUCAGGUAGGACUACCCGCUGAACUUAAGCAUAUCAAUAAGCGGAGGA
This 406-nucleotide unclassified non-coding RNA is filed under the name soil metagenome. RNAcentral describes it as "partial contains 5.8S ribosomal RNA, internal transcribed spacer 2, and large subunit ribosomal RNA". The stretch from base 1 to 121 matches the Rfam family "5.8S ribosomal RNA", at positions 35 to 154 of the family's 154-position model. The record is from RNAcentral.